UCCGGCAUGGUCUAGUGGCUAGGAUACCUGGCUCUCACCACAGGAGGCCCGGGUUCGAUUCCCGGUGUCGGAA
Molecule: transfer RNA, 73 nt
Filed under: Rhipicephalus sanguineus (brown dog tick)
Lineage: Eukaryota; Metazoa; Arthropoda; Arachnida; Ixodida; Ixodidae
Description: transfer RNA glutamic acid (anticodon CUC)
Rfam family: tRNA
About the family: Transfer RNA (tRNA) molecules are approximately 80 nucleotides in length.
Source: Rfam by way of RNAcentral